UUUCCUGUGGCUCAGUCAGUAGAGCAUUGCGCUAGCAAAGUAACGAUCAUGCGUUCGAACUCCAUGGAAAA
Danionella cerebrum is the source of this 71-nucleotide non-coding RNA. Lineage: Eukaryota; Metazoa; Chordata; Actinopteri; Cypriniformes; Danionidae. The record is from the annotation of a GenBank genome assembly.